AGUGAGCGCUGGCGGUAGGCCUAACACAUGCCAGUCGAACGGCAGCACAGUAAGAGCUUGCUCUUACGGGUGGCGAGUGGCGGACGGGUGAGGAAUACAUCGGAAUCUACUUUUUCGUGGGGGAUAACGUAGGGAAACUUACGCUAAUACCGCAUACGACCUACGGGUGAAAGCAGGGGAUCUUCGGGCCUUGCGCGAUUGAAUGAGCCGAUGUCGGAUUAGCUAGUUGGCGGGGUAAAGGCCCACCAAGGCGACGAUCCGUAGCUGGUCUGAGAGGAUGAUCAGCCACACUGGAACUGAGACACGGUCCAGACUCCUACGGGAGGCAGCAGUGGGGAAUAUUGGACAAUGGGCGCAAGCCUGAUCCAGCCAUACCGCGUGGGUGAAGAAGGCCUUCGGGUUGUAAAGCCCUUUUGUUGGGAAAGAAAAGCAGCAGGUUAAUACCCCGCUGUUCUGACGGUACCCAAAGAAUAAGCACCGGCUAACUUCGUG
RNAcentral lists this ribosomal RNA (492 nucleotides) under uncultured bacterium. Its description in RNAcentral is "partial 16S ribosomal RNA". It matches the Rfam family "Bacterial small subunit ribosomal RNA", at positions 29 to 507 of the family's 1533-position model. The record is from RNAcentral.